Molecule: long non-coding RNA, 344 nt
Filed under: Androctonus crassicauda
Lineage: Eukaryota; Metazoa; Arthropoda; Arachnida; Scorpiones; Buthidae
Source: RNAcentral
UGACAAGGACAGGAUUAAGGAUGAUUAUUACCCUGGAAUAUAUCAAAUUCCAUUCUAUGACAAUGAAACAGAAAUGAACAAAAACAUCAUGGUCAUUAAGAAACUGAUUACAAGAACACAAGAAUGGUAUAGCUAAUAAAAAGAUGACUACGACCCUAGCACAACGAGUGAGUACAACAAACUUAGACAUAGACUGGUCCGGAAGUAAGAUAUUACGAAGAAAACAGGACCCGAAGAGAGGGAGAAUUGCGGAAGUGUUGACAGUAUAUUCCAACCGCAGUAAACGGACAAAACCAAUUAACAAGAUCGACCCUACCUCGAUAAAUAACGCCUGGAAGUGGUGU